AGCACAUACAUCUUGAGUUUGUUUUUGUUGAUGACAAAAACUUAAAGUAAGUGCUAAGAAUAAACCCUUCACUUGCAACCCACAACUCAUCAUCAUAUGAGCUGUGUUACUUCUGGGAAGGGACAAU
RNAcentral lists this small nucleolar RNA (127 nucleotides) under Pelusios castaneus (West African mud turtle). RNAcentral describes it as "Small nucleolar RNA SNORA40 (ENSPCEG00000014776.1)". It matches the Rfam family "Small nucleolar RNA SNORA40". Rfam says of the family: The snoRNA ACA 40 belongs to the H/ACA family of snoRNAs and guides the pseudouridylation of 28S rRNA subunit at position U4565. NB This family has a high threshold value to exclude a large number of closely related sequences that do not appear to have conserved H and ACA boxes, and may be pseudogenes. Lineage: Eukaryota; Metazoa; Chordata; Testudines; Pelomedusidae. The record is from Rfam by way of RNAcentral.